Molecule: long non-coding RNA, 730 nt
Filed under: Brassica napus (rape)
Lineage: Eukaryota; Viridiplantae; Streptophyta; Magnoliopsida; Brassicales; Brassicaceae
Description: long non-coding RNA (BNAP_LNC017027)
Source: RNAcentral
AGUUUAAGAGAUUAGGGAUUUAUCCAAAAAUCAGGUUUAGUAUUUAGGAUUUAAGGUUUAGGUUUGCUUUUUUUUGUAAUUGUAUUAUUUUAUUUUGAAAACAUAAUAUGGUUUCACAAUUUUUAUUGGCUAUUAUGUUGUUGAUGAACCUAAGAAAAAAUGUUUAACAAAUGUGUUAAUGACUCCCACAAGAAAGAAAAGUAUGAGUACAGUUACGUGCCAUAUAUCCGGAAAUAUAAACGCAUGUCAGGCUAACGUUCUACUUUUGAUAAGUACACGGAAGGUUUUUCCUCCGAUUACUUUUGGAACCUAGCUCAAUAUUUGUUUACACCAUCUGAGCUUAUAUUCGCUGAAAGCCAAAAAUUGAGAAUAACAAGUGAAGAAAAAGCUUACCAAAUUCCAAAUACAUGAAAUUCAUGAAUGCUGAGCUUCCAAAACAAAUUUGAUCUUGCAACCAGGAAUUAAAUGGGCCCAUUUUUUCGUCUUCCAGCAGUUUUAAAGGGUAAACAAGAACCAAAAAAAAAAAAAGGAUAAAACGAUGGUAUUUGUUAUGAACUUAACGUUUAGGAAUCUAUAAGUUGUGUGUAUUAUUACUCAAUCAUAAGGUGUCCUUAUAUAUGGAAGUUACAAAGAGAUAAAAGAAAACACAUAAAUAUGGAAAGUGUACAAAUACAAGGAAAAUGAAAUAGAGUUUCAUUUUCUCCAAAUCCUAAGUCGCAUUUCUCUUCUC